GAAAAUGAAAAUAUAUUUUCUAAAACGUUCAUAGUGGAUGGAAAUGUGUUACCUUGUAACUACGAUUACGUAUUUUUAAUAAACGAAGUUGGAUUACUCUUUUUUAAUAGUAUUUACCACAGUAAUGGCAGAUUGAGAAUAGGCGUGCAAUUUUUACAAACUGUACAAAUACCAAAAACUUACAAUUAUGUCAUACAGAUAAGUAACGAUACGUUAACCUUCAUACGUCAUUGAAAGGUCACGCCUAUAACACAUAAAACACGAGCUGUUGUUUACACCAAUAUUAUACAUGAGAAGGACAUGGCACGCUUAUUAAGGGUUAAAAAGCACCUUAAGUGCACACUAUUUGUAACAAAGUGUUCAUAAAAUAUUUAGCCACAGUAACAAUUGUUAAUUGAAAAAAAUAUUUUAUUGAUUAUAGAAUCUGUUUGACUAUGCUAUAGUUUAACUUUGUAUUUUGUGAUUUUUCCAUAUUAUCUUAAUAAAAAAAUUAAA
This is a long non-coding RNA of Hylaeus anthracinus, 495 nucleotides long. RefSeq lists it as uncharacterized. The record is from RefSeq and is a predicted model, not a curated record. NCBI's taxonomy places the organism in Eukaryota, Metazoa, Arthropoda, Insecta, Hymenoptera, Colletidae. The transcript has 2 exons.